CGCCGACCGUGGGCGAGCGGAGCGUCGCGGCGUUGCGCGCCGUCGGGGGCACGCGUGCCGUGCCGGGUUCGUCCACUGUGGUCGGUGG
RNAcentral lists this transfer RNA (88 nucleotides) under Virgisporangium aliadipatigenens. RNAcentral's name for it is "tRNA-Ala". Lineage: Bacteria; Bacillati; Actinomycetota; Actinomycetes; Micromonosporales; Micromonosporaceae. The record is from RNAcentral.